This 146-nucleotide ribosomal RNA is filed under the name uncultured eukaryote. RNAcentral describes it as "partial 18S ribosomal RNA". It matches the Rfam family "Eukaryotic small subunit ribosomal RNA", at positions 1299 to 1458 of the family's 1831-position model. The record is from RNAcentral.
UGGUGGAGUGAUUUGUCUGGUUAAUUCCGUUAACGAACGAGACUUUAACAUAGUAAAUAGAAGGAAUAAUUAUGUAUAUUAUUCAUCACAACUGCUUCUUAGGGGGACUUUGUGUGUAUAAUACAAGGAGGCUUAAAGUAAUAACA